RNAcentral lists this ribosomal RNA (434 nucleotides) under uncultured bacterium. Its description in RNAcentral is "bacterial SSU rRNA". It matches the Rfam family "Bacterial small subunit ribosomal RNA", at positions 355 to 786 of the family's 1533-position model. The record is from RNAcentral.
GGAUGAAUAUUGGUCAAUGGGCGAAAGCCUGAACCAGCCAAGUCGCGUGAGGGAAGACGGUCCUAUGGAUUGUAAACCUCUUUUGCAGGGGAGCAAUGCCCGGUACGUGUACCGGGAGGGAGAGUACCCUGAGAAAAAGCAUCGGCUAACUCCGUGCCAGCAGCCGCGGUAAUACGGAGGAUGCGAGCGUUAUCCGGAUUUAUUGGGUUUAAAGGGUGCGUAGGCGGACUUGUAAGUCAGCGGUAAAAAUGCGGUGCUCAACGCCGUAGUGCCGUUGAAACUGCAGGUCUUGAGUGAGCGAGAAGUAUGCGGAAUGCGUGGUGUAGCGGUGAAAUGCAUAGAUAUCACGCAGAACUCCGAUUGCGAAGGCAGCAUACCGGCGCUCAACUGACGCUGAGGCACGAAAGCGUGGGGAUCGAACAGGAUUAGAUACC